Molecule: ribosomal RNA, 455 nt
Filed under: uncultured bacterium
Lineage: Bacteria
Description: bacterial SSU rRNA
Rfam family: Bacterial small subunit ribosomal RNA
Source: RNAcentral
ACGGGAGGCAGCAGUGGGGAAUAUUGCACAAUGGGCGAAAGCCUGAUGCAGCUAUGCCGCGUGUAUGAAGAAGGCCUUAGGGUUGUAAAGUACUUUCAUCGGGGAGGAAAAAACAAAACUAAUAAUUUUAUUUCUUGACGUUACCCGAAAAAGAAGCACCGGCUAACUCCGUGCCAGCAGCCGCGGUAAUACGGAGGGUGCUAGCGUUAAUCAGAAUUACUGGGCGUAAAGAGCACGUAGGUGGUUUUUUUAAGUCAGAUGUGAAAUCCCUGGGCUUAACCUAGGAACUGCAUUUUGAAACUGAAAUACUAGAGUAUCGUAGAGGGAGGUAGAAUUCUAGGUGUAGCGGUGAAAUGCGUAGAUAUCUGGAGGAAUACCUGUGGCGAAAGCGGCUUCCUAAACGAAUACUGACACUGAGGUGCGAAAGCGUGGGGAGCAAACAGGGAUUAGAUACC